RNAcentral lists this ribosomal RNA (302 nucleotides) under Escherichia coli. RNAcentral's name for it is "partial 23S ribosomal RNA". It matches the Rfam family "Bacterial large subunit ribosomal RNA", at positions 2629 to 2925 of the family's 2925-position model. The record is from RNAcentral. Lineage: Bacteria; Pseudomonadati; Pseudomonadota; Gammaproteobacteria; Enterobacterales; Enterobacteriaceae.
GUUCGGUCCCUAUCUGCCGUGGGCGCUGGAGAACUGAGGGGGGCUGCUCCUAGUACGAGAGGACCGGAGUGGACGCAUCACUGGUGUUCGGGUUGUCAUGCCAAUGGCACUGCCCGGUAGCUAAAUGCGGAAGAGAUAAGUGCUGAAAGCAUCUAAGCACGAAACUUGCCCCGAGAUGAGUUCUCCCUGACUCCUUGAGAGUCCUGAAGGAACGUUGAAGACGACGACGUUGAUAGGCCGGGUGUGUAAGCGCAGCGAUGCGUUGAGCUAACCGGUACUAAUGAACCGUGAGGCUUAACCUU